This is a long non-coding RNA of Peromyscus eremicus (cactus mouse), 2940 nucleotides long. RefSeq lists it as uncharacterized. The transcript is spliced from 3 exons. The record is from RefSeq and is a predicted model, not a curated record. Lineage: Eukaryota; Metazoa; Chordata; Mammalia; Rodentia; Cricetidae.
UAUUGUAUAUAUAUUUCUAUUUUUGCUUAAGGUAUUGUACCUAUGCAGUUUAUGUAAAAAUAUAGGGUGAAAUUCUAGUUUUUGAAAGCUGUUAUUAUAAACUAUAUAGAAUAAUCAGGAAAAAUAGGUUAGUGGUUAGUCAUUUAUAACAAUUAAAUUUAUAGAUAUGUUAGGUAUGCUUUCCAGAUUAUAUAGACAUACAUUUUAGAUAGAUAGAAAGAUGGUCUUCAAACCUUUCAAAGACCUACAGAGUGUGGCAUUUAAAAUGUUUUGUUAACUUAGGGUUUUUCAGGACAAUGAGACACAUCUGUUGGUGGUAGUACCAAUUUACUUCCGAGAAGAUGAUGGGUAUUGAAGAAACUCCUUAUGAAGUUUGCUUUCAUUGUGGCAAGACUAGCCAGAAUGGUUAGGUAAAGAAACUGUUCUUGCCUUUGACUGCUGACAAUGUGCUGUGCAGACUAGACAGGACACAGAGGAAAAGUGACUGUUGAACUUUGCCAAAACAAGGAGGACAGUCCUUAGAAAUUCCUGCUUCACAGAAGAGUCUUCUAGACAUUCUGCAGGACACAGAGGAAAGUGUCUGAUGAACUUUGCACAAACAAGGCAGGACAGUCCAAAAUUCCUGCUUCAUUGAAAAGUCUGCCGGAUACUCUAGGCCUGUAAGCUGAAGAUAGAUGCCCCAGUAUUGCAGAGGAACUUUGGGUGACUGUCCAGGCAGCCAAAUGUCUCUGUUGUUAGAUAAUAUUUCAUUCUUCUGGGCCUUUGAUGGAGUUGAAGACUAGGUAGUUAUAGUUGCAAUUUUUCUUUGUUAUGAUAAAAAAUAAAUUAGAUAUAAAACUUUGGAUUAACUAAAAUAGGAUAGGUAAUGCAUUAUUUUUUUGAAUAUGCUAACUACAAAUGGACUGAAUAUUGUAAAUUAUUUCUUACUUGGUAACUGUUUUUAUUGUAUAUAGUUAUACUAUGUUACAAUUAAAACCUUUAUUUUUAUUUAGACAAAAGGGAAAAUGUAGUAGAAUAUUUUAAGUGUGUGUUACUUUUACUUAUGUUGCAUUUGCUUAACUCUGUAAACGUGUUACUGUGCCUCUCUAAAAUACUUGAUGGUCUGAUAAAGAACUGAAUGACCAAUAGCAAGGUAGGAGAAAUGAUAGGUGGGGCUGGCAGGCAGAGAGUGUAUAUGGAAGGAGAAAACUGGGAGGAGAGAGCUGAGAUCUAAGAGCUAGAGAAGUACUCUGGUGGCCAGCCACCCAACUACACAGCAAGCCAUGGAGUAAGUGUAAGGUAUACAGAAGUUAGAGAAUGUGAAAAGCCCAGAGGCAAAAGAUAGAUGGGUUAAUUUAAGGAAAGCUGGCUAGAAUCUAAGCCAAGCUAAGGCCAGGCAUUCAUAACUAAGAAUAAGCCUCGAUGUAUGAUUUUUUUGUGAGCUGGGUGGCAGGCCCUCCAAAAGAGUAAAAUACCUCCAUCCACACAUUGCUAAUAUUUAAAAUAUAUAUAGGACUUGAAAAACAGGACAGCAAAUAAAUAACCCAAUUAAAAAUGUUGUAUACAUCUAACCAGAGAGUUUCAAAAGAUGAACACAAGUGGCUGAGAAACACUUAAAGGAACAUUCAAUAUCCUUAGUUAUCAGGGUAAUGCAAAUGAAAACUACAUUGAGAUUCUUUUAUAACAGUCAGAAUGGCCAAGAUCAAUAAAAGAAAUAACAGCUCAUGCUGGUGAGGAUGUGGCAUAAGUGAGCACUCAUCAGUUGUUAGUGGAAGAUCAAUGUGGCAGAUCCUUGACAAUCUGGGAAUAGAUUUACUCCAAAAUUCAGAUAUACCAUUCUUUGGAAUAUACUCAAAAGACUACAUCCUACAAGAGAGACACUUCUCAACCAUGUUCAUUGCUGCUCUAUUAAUCACAGCCAGAAACUGGAAAUAGCCUAGAUGUCCAUCAACAGACAACUGGGUCAGAAAAAUGUGGUAUAUUUACACAACAGAAUAUUACUCAGGUAUUUUAAAAAAAGAAAAACCAUGAAAUUCACUGGCAAAUGGAUGGAGCUAGAAAAAGAAAAUUUUCCUGAAUGAGGUGACCCAGACCCCAAAAGACAAAUAUGGUAUAUAGUCACUUACAUUGGAUAUUAGCUGUAAAGUUCUCAAUAAGCAGGUUACAUUCCACAUAACUACAAAGGCCAGGUGUAGAGUAAGGGACUAUAGGAGAGGGAAGCUUUUUUCCUAGGAAAGGGAAUUAGAAUAAAUGCUUUAGAGAUGGACAGUGGAGUGUGGACUGUAUUGGGAAGUUCAAACUGGGAGAGGGACUGGGAGAGAGGAAUAAGGAAAGGAUUAUGGGGUGGAAGAGAUAAAACCAAGGGCUAUUCGAAGAGAUGUGUUGAAGCCUGUUACAGUAGAAGCUUCUUAAAAUAUAUUUAUUUAUGAAAGAAAUCUAAAUGGAAUAAACAAAUCACUGGAGAGGCUAAGCCCCAACUAGACAUCUGUCACCAAAUGAACCUCCAGCGGGGCCAAGAGAGGGGCCUGAAGACCCGAGAUCCAGAUGCAUGGGUUCUCUUGGUUCCUGGGCCCUGGACGCUGGAGGUAGACUGAACAGAGUUCUCCAGAGAAUACUGCCGGACUGAGCCACGCCUUUCCCAGACCCUGUAAACUAUCCAUUCACUUAAACCCUUUAAAAGGUGGGAGCUGGCCUCUUACAACUGUCCAUGCUACCAGAGAUGAACAUCAACUCAGAAACAAACCCUUGGAUCAACAAUGGUGACCAGCCUGCAAGAUAAACUGGUGUAAUAAUGCCCGAGUAGCCAACCAAUAUCCGAUUGAAUUUAAGGCCAACUCCAUGAGAUGGAACCCAAGUUCAGGUGGCCAAGACUUUGAGAUUAGUUAGGCCAUGGACCUAGAGGAAAAACAGAUACCAUUGUUUUGCUAAAGGAACACAGCAAUAAAAUGUCUCCUAAUGACA